Molecule: ribosomal RNA, 507 nt
Filed under: Microbacterium sp.
Lineage: Bacteria; Bacillati; Actinomycetota; Actinomycetes; Micrococcales; Microbacteriaceae
Description: bacterial SSU rRNA
Rfam family: Bacterial small subunit ribosomal RNA
Source: RNAcentral
CUGCCCUGGACUCUGGGAUAAGCGCUGGAAACGGCGUCUAAUACUGGAUAUGAACCACGAAGGCAUCUUCAGUGGUUGGAAAGAUUUUUCGGUCUGGGAUGGGCUCGCGGCCUAUCAGCUUGUUGGUGAGGUAAUGGCUCACCAAGGCGUCGACGGGUAGCCGGCCUGAGAGGGUGACCGGCCACACUGGGACUGAGACACGGCCCAGACUCCUACGGGAGGCAGCAGUGGGGAAUAUUGCACAAUGGGCGGAAGCCUGAUGCAGCAACGCCGCGUGAGGGAUGACGGCCUUCGGGUUGUAAACCUCUUUUAGCAAGGAAGAAGCUUUUGUGACGGUACUUGCAGAAAAAGCGCCGGCUAACUACGUGCCAGCAGCCGCGGUAAUACGUAGGGCGCAAGCGUUAUCCGGAAUUAUUGGGCGUAAAGAGCUCGUAGGCGGUUUGUCGCGUCUGCUGUGAAAUCCCGAGGCUCAACCUCGGGCCUGCAGUGGGUACGGGCAGACUAGAG